RNAcentral lists this long non-coding RNA (1365 nucleotides) under Oryzias javanicus (javanese ricefish). Its description in RNAcentral is "lncRNA (ENSOJAG00000008035.1)". Lineage: Eukaryota; Metazoa; Chordata; Actinopteri; Beloniformes; Adrianichthyidae. The record is from RNAcentral.
GCGAUGGAAAGAACUACAGCUCUGUGAAAGGCGCUCGAGUGCCAAUGCCAGUUUAUUUGUCUUUUGAGGCUAAACGCAGUGUUGAUGUUCUAAUUGUGUGCAAUUUAACACUACUCACAGAUUCCCAGCUUCACACAAGGUUAGAGCCUCACAAUUUUUAAGCAAGGUGGACAAAGCCAGUCCUCCAACCGCCCUUCUGCUUUCCAAGCUAUCCUGUCCCAUCUGCGCCUGGUUGCACAAAUCGAGUGUUUGUUAGAUCCGAAACCCAAAUCCGAUCAAACCAACAAACAGCAAGUAAAAGCUGACCCGUUCUCUGCAAAAGCAUGUCAUCAUGUUGACAUGUGUCAAAGUUUUAGAUCUGUAGAAUGAGCAGAGGAAAUUUGACCUCCAAGCUCCAUGGAAAUGCUAAAAAAAAAACUAAACAUAGUAUCAUGGUUUUAUGAAAUUUAAAAGAAAAAGCUAAAUGUUCUAUACAAAGUCACAGAGCUGCACAAAAACUCCAUAACCUUCAAGGGGCCCUACCAUGAAAAAUCAACUUUUUGUGCAUUAUUCUGUUCAAUCCUCAUUUUAAAGAACCUCAAAGCAGUAUUUUGAUCCAUUCGUGCAUUUCUGAUUAAUCCUCUCAAAACUUUGCUCUCAACAGGAAGCCCCUAACAUGCCCAUGUAAACAAGCGGGUCGUCCCGAUCUGAUGUCACAGAGUGAGACCGCCCCUUUCAGGAAGAGUCUGCUCUGACAGCCCCGCCCUCAGUCUAACACCAACACCCAAUUUCUUCCUUUAAGACACCCGACCCACCCCCCAGUCCGCAGUCGCACAGAUGUGAACCAGUGUAGUGAUGGCCGGGACUACUAAAGGCAAAUCCUCCAAAAAGGUCUGUGCAGAGGAGCUGGGAAACCUGCCGAGUGAUCGUCCUUUAAGACCCUCACAGCAAACCGUGCAAAGAUUGUACUUCCAUCUCUGCAGGCACAAUCCUGACCUUUCACCUUGACUGACAAAAUGACUUCUCUGUAAUUUAACAUUGUUUGUAGAAGCUAAGCAGAAGGAUGAUCAGAGCCUCUGAACCAAGAGCCUAAAACCAGCUUAUUGCUUUAGCUCAUUGCUUGUUAACAGAACAAUCAAUUCAAGACUUGUUGGUGUGUGUUGCCUCUCCGUUUCCCUUCAUGAAUCUCAUUGGUUCUGAUUGUCUGUUGGUUAUGGAAAUGUUUGGUUGAAUUUCUGAUUAUGAAACUGAAUUAUUCUAAAAGCCAAAGAAGGAGAACAGAGCUUGAAAUUCCCUCCUUUUCCUCCCUUCGUUAAUCAGGUUCAUCAACUCAUACAAAGCAAUCGUAUUGAAUCUCACUGUUUUUGUAAAAAAAAAUAAACACUG